This 267-nucleotide unclassified non-coding RNA is filed under the name Fusarium merismoides. RNAcentral's name for it is "sequence contains 5.8S rRNA gene, ITS2". The stretch from base 1 to 83 matches the Rfam family "5.8S ribosomal RNA", at positions 73 to 154 of the family's 154-position model. The record is from RNAcentral. Lineage: Eukaryota; Fungi; Ascomycota; Sordariomycetes; Hypocreales; Nectriaceae.
UGCAGAUUCCGUGAAUCAUCAGAAUCUUUAGAACGCACAUUGCGCCCGCCAGUAUUCUGGCGGGCAUGCCUGUUCGAGCGUCAUUUCAACCCUCAAGCCCCCGGGCUUGGUGUUGGGGCUCGGCCCGUCCCUCGUGGCGCGCCGUCCCCAAAAUCCAGUGGCGGUCACGCUGUACUCCUCUGCGUAGUAAUCCAACCUCGCAACGGGACAAAGCCUGGCCACGGCGUUAUUCCCCCACUUCUGAAUUUUAACCUGAAAUGAUAUUUU